Molecule: long non-coding RNA, 1211 nt
Filed under: Salmo salar (Atlantic salmon)
Lineage: Eukaryota; Metazoa; Chordata; Actinopteri; Salmoniformes; Salmonidae
Description: lncRNA (ENSSSAG00000118615.1)
Rfam family: UnaL2 LINE 3' element (bases 104-157)
Source: RNAcentral
CAAGGAAUACCUGGGAUAGGAUAAAGUAAUCCUUCUAACCCCCCCCUUAAAAGAUUUAGAUGCACUAUUGUAAAGUGGUUGUUCCACUGGAUAUUAUAAGGUGAAUGCACCAAUUUGUAAGUCGCUCUGGAUAAGAGCGUCUGCUAAAUGACUUAAAUGUAAAUGUAAAUGUAGAAAGUAAGAGAGAGAGAGAGAGAGAUGAUCUCUAAUAUAAAAGUGUGUAGUAAAUUUUCUGUAAGGGUUUGGAGCACAGAGCAGACUCAAGAGUUUUCUGUUGCUUAUAUGGCCUAACAUCUGUCCUAAUCUCUUUGAGUAGCUUACGACUUGCGACUAAAUUCUUGUACAGUUUCUAGCUAGCAGCUAACACAUGUAAACUACUUUCUUAUUUUUCUUCACUGACCUGGUGUGACUUUCUUUUGUCCUGUCCACUCAAAGAUCUACACAAUCGAACAUAUAAUAACAUCCUGUUAUUAAUUCCCUGGGUACAAUAAAUAUGUGAGAAACACACUAGGCAGUGGGAGUGGAGAGAGAGGUUUCAGCUACUGAACUGUGUUACCUAUCGUUCUGAAGGAGACAGGUUUCAGCUACUGAACUGUGUUACCUAUCAUUCUGAAGGAGACAGGUUUCAGCUACUGAACUGUGUUACCUAUCGUUCUGAAGGAGACAGGUUUCAGCUACUUAGCUGUGUUACCUAUCAUUCUGAAGGAGACAGGUUUCAGUUACUGAACUGUGUUACCUAUCGUUCUGAAGGAGACAGGUUUGAGCUACUUAGCUGUGUUACCUAUUGUUUUGAAAGUUGUUUCAAUCAUCGUAAUCCUUCCUCACCAUCAUACCUCUACCUACAUGGGGCUCCAGAUGCUACAGCUGCAUAAACAUAUGUACACACACACGCACGCACGCACGCACGCACACACACACACACACACACACACACACACACACACACACACACACACACACACACACACACACACAUUCAAGUAAUUAGCAUUAGCAUGAUAAAUCUCUCUCUCUGUCUUUAUCUCUCUCUCUCACUCUCUCUCUCCUUCUCUCCAUCAGUGAUAGCUAUGAGAAAUCUCCUCCAUGGCCUAUUUAAUCUGAGAGACCGGGCCUUCUGUUUGUCUCUCUCUUUCCACUCAGCAAACACUGAUAAAUCACAGCAAAGUACCCACUAUUAGUAAGUGCGAAUAGCUCAUUGUGAUGAAAUUACC